UGGGGAAUUUUGGACAAUGGGGGCAACCCUGAUCCAGCAAUGCCGCGUGAGUGAAGAAGGCCUUCGGGUUGUAAAGCUCUUUUGUCAGGGAAGAAACGGUGAACUCUAACAUAGUUUGCUAAUGACGGUACCUGAAGAAUAAGCACCGGCUAACUACGUGCCAGCAGCCGCGGUAAUACGUAGGGUGCAAGCGUUAAUCGGAAUUACUGGGCGUAAAGCGUGCGCAGGCGGUCCGCUAAGACAGAUGUGAAAUCCCCGGGCUUAACCUGGGAACUGCAUUCGUGACUGGCGGGCUAGAGUAUGGCAGAGGGGGGUAGAAUUCCACGUGUAGCAGUGAAAUGCGUAGAUAUCGGGAGGAACACCUGUGGCGAAAGCGGCGCACUGGACCAUAACUGACGCUGAGGCGCGAAAGCUAAGGGAGCAAACAAGAUUAGAUACCCUGGUAGUCCUAGCCCUAAACGAUGAUUGCUUGGUGUAGCAGGUACCCAAUCCUGCUGUGCCGCAGCUAACGCGAUAAGCAAUCCGCCUGGGGAGUACGGUCGCAAGGCUG
RNAcentral lists this ribosomal RNA (550 nucleotides) under uncultured bacterium. RNAcentral's name for it is "bacterial SSU rRNA". It matches the Rfam family "Bacterial small subunit ribosomal RNA", at positions 355 to 896 of the family's 1533-position model. The record is from RNAcentral.